RNAcentral lists this transfer RNA (75 nucleotides) under Methanolobus tindarius DSM 2278. RNAcentral describes it as "tRNA-Val". It matches the Rfam family "tRNA". Rfam says of the family: Transfer RNA (tRNA) molecules are approximately 80 nucleotides in length. Lineage: Archaea; Methanobacteriati; Methanobacteriota; Methanomicrobia; Methanosarcinales; Methanosarcinaceae. The record is from RNAcentral.
GCCCAUGUAGUCUAGUCCGGAUAAGAUUGCCCUCUUACUAAGGGACAGACACGAGUUCAAAUCUCGUCGUGGGCA